RNAcentral lists this ribosomal RNA (253 nucleotides) under uncultured bacterium. Its description in RNAcentral is "partial 16S ribosomal RNA". It matches the Rfam family "Bacterial small subunit ribosomal RNA", at positions 524 to 776 of the family's 1533-position model. The record is from RNAcentral.
UACGAAGGGGGCUAGCGUUGUUCGGAAUUACUGGGCGUAAAGGGCGCGUAGGCGGUUUAUCAAGUCAGGCGUGAAAGCCCCGGGCUCAACCUGGGAAUUGCGUUUGAUACUGGUAGACUUGAGUUCGGGAGAGGUGAGUGGAAUUCCCAGUGUAGAGGUGAAAUUCGUAGAUAUUGGGAAGAACACCGGUGGCGAAGGCGGCUCACUGGACCGAUACUGACGCUGAGGCGCGAAAGCGUGGGGAGCAAACAGG